This 1069-nucleotide long non-coding RNA is filed under the name Taeniopygia guttata (zebra finch). Its description in RNAcentral is "lncRNA (ENSTGUG00000018919.1)". Lineage: Eukaryota; Metazoa; Chordata; Aves; Passeriformes; Estrildidae. The record is from RNAcentral.
GCUCUAGGCCUGCUGGCACAGACCAGCUCUUUGGUAGGCAGAAAUAUAAGAACUUCAAAAGAUUCUGCCCUGAAAAUUCUCCAGUCUGUUGUCUGUACAGGGGACAAGGACAAGGAGGAACAAGUUCACAUGAGUCUCUUGCUGUUUACUAAAAAUACUGCCAACAUGAUACUUCUGAUAAUUUUGUUAGCAGUACUCAUUUAGAAAAAGGAAGUACAGAUGGGUGAGGAGAUAUAAAAAGACUGUUUUUCUUCUCCUUGUGACAUGUUGUGUAACUGCAACCCUGGAGAGAGCUGCCAGUGAGGAAAAGCAUCAGGAUCAGCUCUGCUUUGCCCAGGCAAAAAUGGGCUUCUGUCUUUUACUAUCGAGCACGAAUACCCAGCCUGUAACCUAAAGACACACUGUGGGAAUGGAAAAGCAGCAGAUGAAGGUGGUCUUUUGCUCAGAGUUUCUAAUGUCCACCUACCUUGCACCGAGACAAAAGGCUCCCCUCUAGCAUUUUCUGGGGGUUACGCUAGCAGUCAUACUUCUGUGCCUGUUUUUAAUCUUCCUUGACACUUCCGCAGCAAUGCACAUGCCCUGAAGACUUAACUUGUCCCAGCUGAGCUGUUGCAGAACUCAAAAUGUGAAAACAAGAUAAAAAAAACCCUGCUGUCUCCCUUGACAGUGCAGGCUUGCUGCAGCCCCUGAUGAAAGUACAAACAGUACAAAGAGAUACCCAGCCAAGUGAAUAACUGCUUCAGCUGGGGACUAGCCAGAACUACAAGUAAACAUUUGGGCUGGAGACUAGAAAAUCUAUGCUGUGAAGGAUGUUACAGGCCAUUGUCUGGAUACUGCCGCUGGUGUUUAGGAGAGAUGAGGUAAGUAACUGAAACGGGGAAACCAAAGUAAAAGUAAUGGUGUCCCAAGAAAGGUCCUAAUCUGAUUAAUGUUGUGUUUGGCUCCUGAUUCCCUUCUUCUCUUUCAAUGUGUCAGGUGAUGGGUUAAGGGGUGGGAACCUGAUCCUGAGAGUUCCUUUUGGCAGAGGAAAUCAGGGCAGGUUUUUUGGUGAGCAUGUUCUGGGAGGUGU